RNAcentral lists this ribosomal RNA (460 nucleotides) under uncultured bacterium. RNAcentral's name for it is "bacterial SSU rRNA". It matches the Rfam family "Bacterial small subunit ribosomal RNA", at positions 34 to 507 of the family's 1533-position model. The record is from RNAcentral.
CGCUGGCGGCGUGCUUAACACAUGCAAGCCGAACGGUGACCCAGGGCUUGCCCUGGUGAUCAGUGGCGAACGGGUGAGUAACACGUGGGCAACCUGCCCUGACUUCGGGAUAACUCCUCGAAAGAGGAGCUAAUACCGGAUACGACCACUUCGGACAUCCGAUGGUGGUGGAAAGUUUUUCGGUCAGGGGAUGGGCCCGCGGCCUAUCAGCUAGUUGGUGGGGUAAUGGCCUACCAAGGCGACGACGGGUAGCCGGCCUGAGAGGGCGACCGGCCACACUGGGACUGAGACACGGCCCAGACUCCUACGGGAGGCAGCAGUGGGGAAUAUUGCGCAAUGGGCGAAAGCCUGACGCAGCGACGCCGCGUGAGGGAUGAAGGCCUUCGGGUUGUAAACCUCUUUCAGCAGGGACGAAGCGAAAGUGACGGUACCUGCAGAAGAAGCACCGGCUAACUACGUG